Malassezia sp. CBS 17886 is the source of this 97-nucleotide non-coding RNA. NCBI's taxonomy places the organism in Eukaryota, Fungi, Basidiomycota, Malasseziomycetes, Malasseziales, Malasseziaceae. The record is from the annotation of a GenBank genome assembly.
GACUUUAUAACUCAGUUGGUUAGAGUAUCACGUUAACACAAAUUCGUGGUCCACGGUGUCACCGUGAAAGUCCCCGGUUCGAGCCCGGGUAAAGUCA